UACGUAGGGAGCAAGCGUUGUCCGGAAUCAUUGGGCGUAAAGCGCGCGUAGGCGGCCUCGUAAGUCCGUUGUGAAAGUCAAAGGCUCAACCUUUGAAAGCCGAUGGAUACUGUGAGGCUAGAGUCCGGAAGAGGCGAGUGGAAUUCCUGGUGUAGCGGUGGAAUGCGCAGAUAUCAGGAGGAACACCAAUAGCGAAGGCAGCUCGCUGGGACGGUACUAACGCUAAGGCGCGAAAGCGUGGGGAGCGAACAGG
RNAcentral lists this ribosomal RNA (253 nucleotides) under uncultured bacterium. RNAcentral's name for it is "partial 16S ribosomal RNA". It matches the Rfam family "Bacterial small subunit ribosomal RNA", at positions 524 to 776 of the family's 1533-position model. The record is from RNAcentral.